RNAcentral lists this ribosomal RNA (853 nucleotides) under uncultured bacterium. Its description in RNAcentral is "bacterial SSU rRNA". It matches the Rfam family "Bacterial small subunit ribosomal RNA", at positions 524 to 1380 of the family's 1533-position model. The record is from RNAcentral.
UACAGAGACUUCAAGCGUUAUCCGGUUUCACUGGGCGUAAAGCGUUCCGAUAGGUGGAUAAGUGUGUUUAUAGUUAAAGACCGAGGCUUAACCUCGUGUAUGCUAUGAAAACUGCUUAUCUAGAAGAGCAAAGAGGUAGCUGGAACUCUACAUGUAGGGGUAAAAUCCGUUGAUAUGUAGGGGAACACCGAAAGCGAAGGCAGGCUACUAGGUGCUUCUUGACACUGCUAGGACGAAAGCGUGGGGAGAGAAUGGGAUUAGAUACCCCAGUAUUCCACGCCCUAAACGAUGAGUGCUUGCUUUUAGUUCGUUCAAUCCGAAUUAGAGGCAAAAGCUAACGCUAUAAGCACUCCGCCUGUAUAGUACGGUCGCAAGACUAAAACACAAAGGAAUUGACGGGAACCCGCACAAGCAGUGGAUCAUGUGGCUUAAUUCGAUAGUAAGCGAGGAACCUCACCUAGGCUUGACAUGUUAGUGAAAGUGGUAUGAAAGUAUCACCCUCUUCGGACUCUAACACAGGUGAUGCACGGUCGUCGUCAGCUCGUGGCGUGAGCUGUUCGGUUAAGUCCGGUAACGAGCGCAACCCUAAUACUUAGUUAUUUAAUGUCUAAGUAGACUGCAGGAGCUUAAUCCUGAGGAAGGAUAGGAUGACGUCAGAUCAGCGUGUCCUUUAUGGCUAGGGCAGCACACAUGAUACAAUGGGAAGGGUACAACAGGACAGCCAAGGAGUAAUCCGGAGCAAAUCCCCUAAAACCCCCCUCAGUACGGAUUGGAGUCUGCAGCCCGACUCCAUGAAGCUGGAAUUGCUAGUAAUCGCUAAUCAGCCUCGUAGCGGUGAAUACGUUCUCGGGUU